Molecule: long non-coding RNA, 568 nt
Filed under: Anas platyrhynchos platyrhynchos (common mallard)
Lineage: Eukaryota; Metazoa; Chordata; Aves; Anseriformes; Anatidae
Description: lncRNA (ENSAPLG00000028541.1)
Source: RNAcentral
CCACAGCAGGGCACUGUCCCCGUCCCUCGCAGGCGGUGCUGGCCGAUGACCCCGGGUCCCCGACGGAGGCUCUGAGGCUCCCCUGCCGCAGCCUCUCGCCUGCUGCAGCUGCGGCCACGCUGGGGGCUGUGCACGGAGCCCUGCGGCGCCGGCACUUCCAGCUGCAGGAGGCCCGGGAGGUGUCGGGGAGCCUGCGGCGGGAGCUGGGGGACAGCGAGAGCCGGCGGGCGGCCCUGGAGCAGCGGCUGGAGCAGCUCAGCGCCGAGGCUGGGGGCUGCCGGCGGGCGCAGGACGAGGCCGUGCGCGAGGCCGCCCGCCUGCGCACCGACAUCGAGCUCCUGCGCAGCGAGCGGGGCCGCGUGGAGCAGGCGCUGGCGGCGGAGCAGGCGCGGGCGGGGGUCCUGCAGCGCAGCGAGGCCGAGCUGCAGCGCCGCAGCCGGGGGCUGGAGGAGCAGCGGGACGAGGCCGCCCGUGCCGCCGAGGCUGCGCGCCAGCAGCUGGAGCACAGUGGGUGCCCCCUCCCAAUUUGUGCCCCCCCGUGGGUGCCCGCAGCCAGCAGCAGCUGGAG